CCUACGGGGGGCAGCAGUGGGGAAUAUUGGUCAAUGGGCGCAAGCCUGACCCAGCAACGCCGCGUGAAGGAAGAAGGCUUUCGGGUUGUAAACUUCUUUUCUCAGGGACGAAGCAAGUGACGGUACCUGAGGAAUAAGCCACGGCUAACUACGUGCCAGCAGCCGCGGGAAUACGUAGGUGGCAAGCGUUAUCCGGAUUUACUGGGUGUAAAGGGCGUGUAGGAGGGAAAGCAAGUCAGAUGUGAAAACCAUGGUCUCAACCUGUGGCCUGCAUUUGAAACUGUUUUUCUUGAGUACUGGAGAGGCAGACGGAAUUCCUAGUGUAGCGGUGAAAUGCGUAGAUAUUAGGAGGAACACCAGUGGCGAAGGCGGUCUGCUGGACAGCAACUGACGCUGAGGCGCGAAAGCGUGGGGAGCAAACAGGAUUAGAUACCCCUGUAGUC
This 443-nucleotide ribosomal RNA is filed under the name uncultured bacterium. RNAcentral describes it as "partial 16S ribosomal RNA". It matches the Rfam family "Bacterial small subunit ribosomal RNA", at positions 338 to 795 of the family's 1533-position model. The record is from RNAcentral.